AUAAGCCCCAUCCCUGAACCAGCUACCUUGUUCUGCUCUGGGGCUGCUGCUGUGAGGUUUUGUUGGUUCUGUAGCUUCUUACCUGCAGUAGCUGAGGCAUCUGGUUGAGGUGUUGAAGGGGAACCUAGGAACCUUGUCAAUGUUGACAAGCAAAAUAUUGCCUGGUGUCUUGGUUCAGUAUUUCCUGGUUUUGCAGGUGCUUUGUGGGCCACUUCUGAACUUGGAUGACCAUUUGUGGUGCCAUGAGUGAUAAGGGUUUCUGCCUCUGCCCAUGGCAUAAGCCACUGAACAGAACACCCUUGAAAUUCAGAGGAGGUGCAGACUGAAGUACCUGUGUACAACCCAGUUGUCAAGAGAGGAAAAUCCUGAUCAAAGAAAAGCAAAAUUUGAGGAAGGAAAUAGGCACAAAACCUGGGGAUUUAUUGUCAUUGAAAACUGAGCUGCUGCAGAGGCCUUUACAAGAAGAAAAGAAGCAACAAAAGUUAGAGGGGAAAAAAAUGAAGUGAUACUUGUCAUCCUCUUGACAUUCUACUGAUUGGGAAACACAUCGUAUCACCUGAAGCAUGGGACAGAAAAAUAUGGUGUGACCCUGUGAUGGUGAACCAGGGAAGAACGAUUCCUCAUACUUCUCAGAUCCCCCUGAAUAUGCAGCCAGACCCAUCAUUAAAACAGAACAGUCUCAAGGAACUCCAUGUACUGCCAUGUGAUACCAUAGGCAAAUUGUUCCCUUAGUUCUGCCAUAAUUGGAAAACUUACCAGAAAAAUACAGCAGAAAACCAGGAAGAAUACAGCAUUCAGUGUAACAGCACAAACCGGCCUGAAACUCAUGAUCAUCUUCAUGGAGACUUGAACUGUUUUUCUGAGCAAAUAUGAGAUAAUGAAUUGUCAUAUUCUGUCAGGAAAAUUAAGUUUGUUUUUUUGCUUGUUUGUUUGGGGUUUUUUGUUGUUGGGUUUGGUGGUGGUGUUCUUCGGUGUGUUUUUGUCUUUUUGAAGUACAAGAUGAAAUAUGCAUUUGGAACUUCUAUUAUUUCUAUCAUACUUUAUUUCCUAAAUAUACUUCUGUUUUUUGAGGCCUCUAGCUUCUAAAUGUCAAGAUUUUCUUGACAACCAUAGGGAGAAAAACACCCUGGAUUUUUAAAAUCAAAGCUAAAAAUCUUAUGGGAUUUGUAGUGACUGAGCAGCCUAGAAAUGACAUGCAAUUCCCUGAGGUUUAGGAUCACAGGCAUGUAACCAUGGAUGCCAUAGAGGACUACCCAAAUAACCUAGAAGUUCGGGAGAACUAGAUUUUCUUCUGGCUUAAUUCUGCUGAUAUAUCUAGGAAAAAAACCCACAUUGUUUUCAAUGUGUUGUAACAGGUUGAAAGCUUUUGGGGAUCAAUGCAUAACAGUGAAUCCCACUAACACGAGUUAAGUUUAUGUUGUGUUUCCUGAAUAUCAGGUCCAUCUAGGAGGUUUAAUCUGCUGUGGCAGAGGUGAAAGAAGAGAUAAGUGAUGGGCUGGUGAGAUUCAUGGGAUUACAUACCUGAGGAGUUCUGCUAGGCUGCCCUAUGAGUGCUUCAUCAUGCUUGCAAAAAUGCUUUGCAAGCCCUCAAAGGAUGGCUUUUCCACCCUCAUCUGAGCUAUUCUUUGUUUUUCUUGGUCUUUCUUCAACCCAGUCCUCCUGCUCUGCCUGUGCCAGUCAGUCUGCUCCUACUGUAGGCUACAGGUACCUUUUAAGUCAAUGAAAGAAGACGACAUUAUGAGCGUGAUCAAAGAUUUGGUUCAUGGGCUGCAAAUGCACUAAACAGUCCCCAGUCAUCUGUAAUGUUAGAGAUGGGCUUGCUCCAGCUCUGCAGUUAAUUAGGCACAUAAGUAUAAAAUAUGAACCUACAUUAUCAGGAAUGCGUUGAUGCAAGUGCACGGAAGAGUGUAUACGUAACCAUAAUAAGGAGCGAGAGAGAAGGUAAACAUCUGAAUGACCAUUUGUUGGAUAUUCCUUCAUCUCCAUGAAACUACAAUAAUUAUCUGGACAAAGGAGAGACAUCCUUCUGUCAUAUAAAUUCUAAAAUCAAUCUCAUUUUUUGUUGUGGAGCAGACACUUAUUUACAUAAUUAUCCUGCUUACUUGACUGUGGACCUCCCUUAAAUCCUGCGUUCCCUCAAGCUGGGAGACUAUGGUAGGCACUUUUUAUACUUCUCUCUUCUCUGUGCUUCAUUGAAAAAUAAGAAGUGGAAAAAAAGAUUAAGAAAUCUAAAAGCAACUUCCUUCAUGAUAGGAAUCAUACAAGAUGGAAAAGCUUGUAUCUCUUAGAUGACACAAUGGGAGUGAAGGCUGAUUUGUAUGCUGGCCUCUGUGGCUUGAAGCUCAGCCUUCCAGUCCUUGCUAUUAAAAUAUGCAGUUCAGCAU
Molecule: long non-coding RNA, 2384 nt
Organism: Columba livia (rock pigeon)
Lineage: Eukaryota; Metazoa; Chordata; Aves; Columbiformes; Columbidae
Exons: 5
Source: RefSeq, a predicted model, not a curated record